RNAcentral lists this ribosomal RNA (200 nucleotides) under uncultured bacterium. RNAcentral describes it as "partial 16S ribosomal RNA". It matches the Rfam family "Bacterial small subunit ribosomal RNA", at positions 28 to 224 of the family's 1533-position model. The record is from RNAcentral.
GAUGAACGCUGGCGGCGUGCUUAACACAUGCAAGUCGAACGGUGAAACAGGAGCUUGCUCCUGCGGAUCAGUGGCGAACGGGUGAGUAACACGUGAGUAACCUGCCCUUGACUCUGGGAUAAGCGUUGUAAACGACGUCUAAUACCGGAUACGAGCUUCAGUCGCAUGACUAGGAGCUGGAAAAGAAUUUUCGGUCAAGG